This 467-nucleotide ribosomal RNA is filed under the name uncultured bacterium. Its description in RNAcentral is "partial 16S ribosomal RNA". It matches the Rfam family "Bacterial small subunit ribosomal RNA", at positions 28 to 507 of the family's 1533-position model. The record is from RNAcentral.
GACGAACGCUGGCGGCGUGCUUAACACAUGCAAGUCGAACGGAAAGGCCUCUUUCGGGGGGUACUCGAGUGGCGAACGGGUGAGUAACACGUGAGUAACCUGCCCUUGACUUUGGGAUAACUUCAGGAAACUGGGGCUAAUACCGGAUAGGAGCUCCUGCUGCAUGGUGGGGGUUGGAAAGUUUCGGCGGUUGGGGAUGGACUCGCGGCGUAUCAGCUUGUUGGUGGGGUAGUGGCUUACCAAGGCUUUGACGGGUAGCCGGCCUGAGAGGGUGACCGGCCACAUUGGGACUGGGAUACGGCCCAGACGCCUACGGGGGGCAGAAGGGGGGAAAAUUGCACAAGGGGUGGAGGCCGGAUGCAGCAACGCCGGGUGCGGGAUGACGGCCUUCGGGUGGAAAACCGCUUUCGCUCAUGACGAAGCUUUGUGUGACGGUAGUGGGUAAAGAAGCACCGGCUAACUACGUG